Molecule: long non-coding RNA, 1669 nt
Filed under: Podarcis lilfordi (Lilford's wall lizard)
Lineage: Eukaryota; Metazoa; Chordata; Lepidosauria; Squamata; Lacertidae
Source: RNAcentral
GCCCCCGAGAGCGGCCUCCCUCCUUUCCUCAGUCUAGGCUGGAGAGCGUCCAGGGAGGUGCUUCUGCUUUCGUUUUCCCUUCUUUUCUCCCCCGCCCUGUGAACUUAGGACCGCAUAUUCCUUUUAAAAGCGAGGUGCUGCUUCUCUCUCCUCUCGUUUUGUCCAGCACCUGCAAGGUAGAGGAAGGCUAGGAUGCGCCAAGCAGACUUCGGAAAGGAGCCCCAUGGAGUUUCAUAGCACUUGCUAACAGGUAAAGAGGUAUACAAUUGCAGCCGGAGCCACGUUGGUCUAUCAGCAGAGUAGGGCCGAUCCAAAUGUCCACGAAAUAAUAAUAAUAAUAUUUUUUUAUUUAUACCCCGCCCUCCCCAGCCAAGGCCGGGCUCAGAGCGGCUUACAAGCAAUAAUAAAAACAAGAAGAAUGAUUACAACUUAAAAACAAAAAUAAAAUACAACAUUAAAAUAAUGGAACAUUAAAAUAUUAAAAUGUAGCCUCAUUGCAGGAGGAGAAGGAAAAGAAAAAAGAAAGAGAGGGAGGGAGGGAAUCAAAUUGGCUCCAAGCCAAAGGCCAGGCGGAACAACUCUGUCUUACAGGCCCUGCGGAAAGAAAUCAGAUCCUGCAGGGCCCUGGUCUCAUGAGGCAGAGUGUUCCACCAGGCCGGAGCCAGAGUUGAAAAGGCCCUGGCUCUGGCUGAAGCCAAUCUAACUUCCUUAGGGCCCAGGACCACUAGGGUGUUGUUAUUUAUGGACCUUGGAACAUGCUGUGCUGAGAUGUCAACCGCCCAACCACAAAAGAGGAAAACCUGCUUUAAUGGUGAAGUUACAAACGCUUGACUUCAGUCACUGUCUUUUUAAAAAAUAAAAAAGAUUUUGGGACGAGAAACGCAGACAUGGGGGUGGCAGGUGCCCCUAGAUCAAUAAAAAUCAAUAAAAAUACAAUUCUCAGGUUCUGACGCCCCCAACAAAAAUCCUGACUACGCCCAUUAAAGCAGACUUAAUUAGAUUAAGCACUUUGUAGCUUUGAGCUUCUGUCUUGGGCUGCUGGGACAAAGUAGUAAGUAAUCACUCCUCCCUUUGUAUGUGUGUGUGUGUGGAAAUGUAGCACUUACCUAUGCAUCUGGAUAAGGACUCAUUUCUUCCUUGCCCUUACACCUGCCUUCCUCAAAUAAAUAUUCAGCCCACAAAUUUUGGAAUUCCAGGACUGUAGAUUGGGGAGCUACUGCAUUUCCAUGGAAACGUCCUUAUAUGGACUCAGACCAUUGGCCAAUUUAUCUCAGCAUUGUCUUCACUCAGUUGGCAGUGGCUCUCCAGGGUUUCACAUUGGAGUCUGUUCCAGCCCUACCUGCAUAUGACAGGCAUUGAAAUUAAGAACAUAAGAGCCCGCUGGAUCAAGCCAGUGCCUCAUCUCAUCUAGUCCAGUGUCCUAUUCUCGAAGAGGCCAGCUGGAUGCCUUUGGGAAACUGGUAAGCAGGACCUGAGCACAAGAGUACUCUUCCUUCCUGCGGUUUCCAGCAAUUGGUAUUCAGAACCAGAAUACCUCUUGACCAUGGAGGCAGAGCCUAACUACUCUUAUCCUCUCAGGAAUUUGUCUAAUCUUCUAAAGCAUUGAUUACAUUGUGAAACAUUGUCAACAAGAUGUAGAAAUACCUAAUUCUAUGCCUUCAUCUUCCCC